RNAcentral lists this long non-coding RNA (398 nucleotides) under Nicotiana benthamiana. RNAcentral's name for it is "long non-coding RNA (NBEN_LNC015264)". The record is from RNAcentral. Lineage: Eukaryota; Viridiplantae; Streptophyta; Magnoliopsida; Solanales; Solanaceae.
CUCAUGUAUUGUCUCGAUCUGAUAUCCAUUUUGAAUGAUAUCUUUAAAACUCAGCAAGUACCUUUUAGACUUGGAGGAGAACAUUUUGACUGAUAUCAUUAAAACUCAACAAGUUCUUCUUAGACUUGGAGGAGAACAUUGCAUUCUCUAAAUAUCGUUCCUUUAGGCAGAGUUAUAGUUGCUCUUCAGGAGCCUUCAAUCAAUUUAAUUCCCAUAGUUUUCCAUACAAAAGAAAAUAUACGAACAUGUAUUAUUCCUUUAGGCAGAGAUAUAGUUGCUCUUCAGGAGCCUUCAAUCAAUUUAAUUCCCAUAGUUUGCCAUACAAAAGAAAAUAUACGAAUAUGAGAAUAAACAAAUUCAGUCCGUUUGUUUCAUACUUAAACAAUAUUUUCGAAAUC